AUACGUAGGGGGCGAGCGUUGUCCGGAAUGAUUGGGCGUAAAGGGCGCGUAGGCGGCCCGGUAAGUCUGGAGUGAAAGUCCUGUUUUUAAGAUGGGAAUUGCUUUGGAUACUGUCGGGCUUGAGUGCAGGAGAGGUAAGUGGAAUUCCCAGUGUAGCGGUGAAAUGCGUAGAGAUUGGGAGGAACACCAGUGGCGAAGGCGACUUACUGGACUGUAACUGACGCUGAGGCGCGAAAGUGUGGGGAGCAAACAGGAUUAGAUACCCUGGUAGUCCACACUGUAAACAAUGAAUGCUAGGUGUAGGGGGUAUCGACCCCUUCUGUGCCGCAGUCAACACAAUAAGCAUUCCGCCUGGGGAGUACGGCCGCAAGGUUGAAACUCAAAGGAAUUGACGGGG
Molecule: ribosomal RNA, 397 nt
Filed under: uncultured bacterium
Lineage: Bacteria
Description: partial 16S ribosomal RNA
Rfam family: Bacterial small subunit ribosomal RNA
Source: RNAcentral